GUACGUACGUACGUACGAGAGGAACCCGUGAGCCGAAAUGAGCCAUUUCAGGUCGGUUUCCUGGCUCCACAGGCAAACGCCGAUUCCCCAUUCUUCCCUCCCUCCCUCUAUCCUCCUUCACUGGCACACGCCACAUUCCCCAUCCACAGCCGGCGAUCUGUGGUGGCCGCCCCUCCCCUUCGUCACCACUGCCAGCCGCUGCGGAGGCCCUGAUGCGCCCCGCCCUUUCCCUUCGUCACCACUGCCGGCCGCCGCGGAGGCCCUGAUGCGCCUCGCCCUUUCCCUUCGUCAGCACCGCCGGCGGCCGCGGAGGCCCGCGAUGUGCCCCGCCCCUCCCCUUUAUCACCGCUGCCGGCGGGCGCGGAGGCCCGCGAUGUGCCCCACCCCUCCCCUUCGUCACCGCUGCCGGCGGGCGUGGAGGCCCGCGAUGUGCCCCGCCCCUCCCCUUCGUCACCGAUGCCGGCGGGCGCGCAGUUCCUUGAUCUGCCCCGCCCCUUCGUCACCACUGCCGGCGGGUGCGCAGGCCCUUGAACUGCCCCGCCCCUUCGUCACCACUGCCGGCGGGGCGCGCAGGCCCUUGAACUGCCCCGCCCCUUCGUCACCACUGCCGGCGGGGCGCGCAGGCCCUUGAUCUGCCCCGCCCCUUCUUCAUAUAAGGUCGCCGAUGUGGCCGAGGAGGCGCUCAAGCUCAUCAUGCGCGCCGGCGACGCCGGGGCCCUCCAUCCUCCUGACGCACUUGCCGUCGCCGACAUGAGCGUCUCCACCUUCUCCCGCGCGCCAUGAACUUCCCUUCCCCACUGCUCAGGACGCCAGCAAGGAGCAGGAGUUCCUUCCUUCCAUGGAUGACCACGAAGAGCUCUGCGUGCUGUGCUGCUGCUCGGGACCCUCCCUUCUCAUCGCUCGUCCGGGUCCAGAUACAGAAGGUUUAGUUCAGUGGCUGUGCUGGACAGGAGGGGCCAGGGAAUUGCUUUAAGUUGUUCCAAGAGAUGUGAGCCUGAUAAAACGAUGACAUAGCAGAUUUCCACUGUGGUCUCCUUGCAGGACCACUCUCAGUGGUUGGCCCUCCUGUUCACUUACACAAAAACAGAAGGCAGAAGAUGAUAUUGGCCCUGCUGUUGAGCCGCAAACAUAGAAUGUUGCUUUGGCAGGUCAAAGGAAGAAGCAGGUCGAAGGAAGAAGUUUAGACUAAAGACAUGGUCAAAGGAAGAAGCAGGUCAAAGGAAGAAGUUUAGACUAAAUUGGAGAGAAGAAUUUUACAGCUGCGUGUAUCCGGCUGGCUGCGACGGGCAGGGCGGGCUGUACCAGUGGGGAUCUCCCGUAGGGAUGCCACGCUGCGAGGGCAGGAUCCUGGGCGUUCCCUGGCGUUGCUGCCAUGGCGACCUUGCUGGAAGUUCUGUGGCGUCGCUGCCCUGGCGACCUCGGGAAGGAAGCGACGCUGCUCGCGGACGGUCUCCACGUUGGUCGGCAACAAUGGCGAUGACGUUGGCGAUGGUGCGACGGUGCGAUGUCGAAUUAAUUUUGUUUCCUUAUUUUACCAGGAGAUCAGCGUGGUGUGAUGACGAAUUAAUGUUGUUUCCUUAUUUACCUGGAGUACAGCGUGAUUGUAGGGGGUGGAUGGGGGGUGCUGGAGGUGGAGCACGGUCAGUCAAGGGUAUUUCCUAAGUCCACACCGUACAGGCAGCAAAUGAAUGAUGGCUGUUAGAUUUAGAUGUGCGGGUAUAAUUGUGUGGUGUUGAUUGUUCCGUGCGUUUUGUGGGACAAGUUGCCGGGUGUACUUAGCGAAGUUCUUGUUUGCUUGUUUAUUAGUAGUAGAGA
This 1815-nucleotide ribosomal RNA is filed under the name Triticum aestivum (bread wheat). Its description in RNAcentral is "partial small subunit ribosomal RNA". Lineage: Eukaryota; Viridiplantae; Streptophyta; Magnoliopsida; Poales; Poaceae. The record is from RNAcentral.